RNAcentral lists this ribosomal RNA (468 nucleotides) under uncultured bacterium. Its description in RNAcentral is "partial 16S ribosomal RNA". It matches the Rfam family "Bacterial small subunit ribosomal RNA", at positions 28 to 507 of the family's 1533-position model. The record is from RNAcentral.
GACGAACGCUGGCGGCGUGCUUAACACAUGCAAGUCGAACGGAAAGGCCCUGCUUUUGUGGGGUGCUCGAGUGGCGAACGGGUGAGUAACACGUGAGUAACCUGCCCUUGACUUUGGGAUAACUUCAGGAAACUGGGGCUAAUACCGGAUAGGAGCUCCUGCUGCAUGGUGGGGGUUGGAAAGUUUCGGCGGUUGGGGAUGGACUCGCGGCUUAUCAGCUUGUUGGUGGGGUAGUGGCUUACCAAGGCUUUGAUGGGUAGCCGGCCUGAGAGGGUGACCGGCCACAUUGGGACUGAGAUACGGCCCAGACUCCUACGGGAGGCAGCAGUGGGGAAUAUUGCACAAUGGGCGGAAGCCUGAUGCAGCAACGCCGCGUGCGGGAUGACGGCCUUCGGGUUGUAAACCGCUUUCGCCUGUGACGAAGCGUGGGUGACGGUAAUGGGUAAAGAAGCACCGGCUAACUACGUG